AGGAACCUGGUUUCCCAGGGGGGCCUGUGAUGCCCGUGGGUCCACUGAGUCCUGGAAACCCUGGAUUACCUGAAUGUACCUGGUCAAUCCCGGAGGUCCUGGUUUCCCUCUUCUACCUGCAGGGACACAUAACAGACUUUUGGCCUCAUUCAGACCUGGCCCUUCACAUCCUGGAGCUCCAUCUCGUCCAUUAAACCCUCUCUCUCCUGUCUUCCCUGGAGUUCCAGGGAACCCAGUCUGUCCUAGGGGCCCUGGCCCGCCAUACUUGCCUUGGGGCCCCAACAGACCUGAAACAGACAGAGAAUAAUCCAAUGAAUUUAGGUCAUGCAAAAACA
Solea senegalensis (Senegalese sole) is the source of this 335-nucleotide long non-coding RNA. RefSeq lists it as uncharacterized. The transcript has 3 exons. Lineage: Eukaryota; Metazoa; Chordata; Actinopteri; Pleuronectiformes; Soleidae. The record is from RefSeq and is a predicted model, not a curated record.